GAAAUGCGAUAAGUAAUGUGAAUUGCAGAAUUCAGUGAAUCAUCGAAUCUUUGAACGCACAUUGCGCCCGCCAGUAUUCUGGCGGGCAUGCCUGUUCGAGCGUCAUUUCAACCAUCAAGCCCCGCGCUUGUGUUGGGGACCUGCGGCUGCCGCAGGCCCUGAAAACCAGUGGCGGGCUCGCUGUCACACCGGGCGUAGUAGAUUUUAUCUCGCUCAGGGCGUGCUGCGGGUUCCGGCCGUUAAAAAGCCUUUUUUACCCAAGGUUGACCUCGGAUCAGGUAGGUAGACCCGCUGAACUUAAGC
RNAcentral lists this unclassified non-coding RNA (303 nucleotides) under plant metagenome. RNAcentral's name for it is "partial contains 5.8S ribosomal RNA, internal transcribed spacer 2, and large subunit ribosomal RNA". The stretch from base 1 to 105 matches the Rfam family "5.8S ribosomal RNA", at positions 50 to 154 of the family's 154-position model. The record is from RNAcentral.